CAGAGUUGGUGUGUGUCCAAGCCACAGGGGUCUCUGAAGCGUGGGGUUUUGAAACACAAUCCCAUCUGAGAUAAAACUCUGGAGGGAGGUACCACCUGGCAGGCAGACAGCUUGGACACAGACAGGGUAUAGGUGGGGAGUGGAUGGAGGCCUGAACCAAAGGAGGGGUGCUUGAUCCCAGGUCAGUGAGAGCAUGAAGUUCCUGUGCCACAGACUAAGGAACCAGGUCUAUAUAUAUUACAUUAAGUUCAAACCUGGCAAGUCUCCUCCUUGACACCUACUGCUGGAUGAUGUUGGCUCUGUUACAAAUGAGAAAAUGUGAAGAUCCUCAAGUGACUUAGAGCACAAUUGCAAGGAGACAAUAAAGACAUGUCACCUGAACUUGCCUACCUAAUGUAGCCCUACAGGAGUGGUUCUGAACCAUGGACACUUUUGGUUCCCAGAGGACAUUUGCCAAUUUGUGGAGACAUUUUUGGUUGUCGCACAUAAGCCAUCUAGUGGAUGGAGGCCAAAGAUGCUGCACAUCCUGCAAUGUAUAGAAGAACCCACUCACUAUAACCAAGAAUUAUUUGGUCCAAAAUAUGAAAUCAUCAGUAGUGCCAAAGUGGAGAAACCCUGCUCUAGAGGGCUGUGGCCAUGCUUAUAAAAACAUCUCUCUCUAGAGGA
This is a long non-coding RNA of Neofelis nebulosa (Clouded leopard), 666 nucleotides long. RefSeq lists it as uncharacterized. The record is from RefSeq and is a predicted model, not a curated record. Lineage: Eukaryota; Metazoa; Chordata; Mammalia; Carnivora; Felidae. The transcript is spliced from 3 exons.